AUGAACGCUGGCGGCGUGCUUAACACAUGCAAGUCGAACGAUUAAAGCUCACUUCGGUGAGUGUAUAGAGUGGCGAACGGGUGAGUAACACGUGGGAAACCUGCCCCUUUCUUCGGGAUAACUUCGGGAAACCGUUGCUAAUACCGGAUACUCCGGGAUGGUCGCAUAGCCGACCCGGGAAAGCUUUAUGUGGAAAGGGAUGGUCCCGCGGCCCAUUAGCUUGUUGGUGGGGUAAUGGCCUACCAAGGCGAUGAUGGGUAGCCG
Molecule: ribosomal RNA, 264 nt
Filed under: uncultured bacterium
Lineage: Bacteria
Description: partial 16S ribosomal RNA
Rfam family: Bacterial small subunit ribosomal RNA
Source: RNAcentral